GGCAAACGAGGUAGUAACACGUAGGUAGACCCCCCAGAGUCGGGCAUAGCCAGCCGAAAAGUUGGGUAAUUCCCGAUAGUCCCGAAAGGGUAAAGGUUUUUCGCUCUGGGAGUUGCCUGCGUAGUAUCAGCUAGUUGGUAGGGUAAUGGCCUACCAAGGCUACGACGCUUAGGGGAGCUGAGAGGCUGACCCCCACCGAUGGAACUGCGACACGGUCCAUACUCCUACGGGAGGCUGCAGACGAGAAUAUUCCGCAAUGGGCGAAAGCCUGACGGAGCGACGCCGCGUGAUUGAUGAAGUGCUUCGGUACGUAAAGAUCUUUUAUCGGGGACGAAGUUUAUUGACGGUACCCGAUGAAUAAGGGGCUCCUAACUCUGUG
RNAcentral lists this ribosomal RNA (379 nucleotides) under uncultured bacterium. RNAcentral's name for it is "bacterial SSU rRNA". It matches the Rfam family "Bacterial small subunit ribosomal RNA", at positions 97 to 507 of the family's 1533-position model. The record is from RNAcentral.